AAUGCUGACAACCUGCAAUUUGCAGAUUUUAUUGUUAAAAUCCUGAUCUCACGUCACUCUGAGUCCGUUUUGCGUCCAUUUCGCGCCGAAACGAUUCAGACUUGUCCCGACACUCUCCAAACAUGUCGACAAGCCUCAAAUGUAGAAAUCUCACGACUGCAGAACACCAGGGAUACUACAUGAAAUUACCCCAAGUUUUUUUUUUCGGGAUCAUGUAGCCGUCAACAACACGAUGACGCUCAAAAAGAUAAAUUUAGGCUUAAUUUGGUAUUGAGGUUUAUCUAAGGCUAUUAGAUAGAAUGGGGUUGAGAAAAAGUAUAUAGAGAUAUGUUUCUGCGUUCUCCGAUGAAACCGCGAAAAAUACAUCGUAACUAACCAACCGCAAUUUGCGGAUCGCAAUAUUAUAUACAGAAACAAAUAGGGUAUUUUCGCAUCGUCGUUUCUCACGGCAUGUAACGCAAUCUCCCCGCAAUCUCAAACGAAGCCUUAAUCAAAUAUGAAAAAGACUUUACCUACUGAAAAAAAAA
RNAcentral lists this long non-coding RNA (527 nucleotides) under Ananas comosus (pineapple). Its description in RNAcentral is "long non-coding RNA (ACOM_LNC021959)". The record is from RNAcentral. Lineage: Eukaryota; Viridiplantae; Streptophyta; Magnoliopsida; Poales; Bromeliaceae.